RNAcentral lists this ribosomal RNA (473 nucleotides) under uncultured bacterium. RNAcentral's name for it is "partial 16S ribosomal RNA". It matches the Rfam family "Bacterial small subunit ribosomal RNA", at positions 28 to 507 of the family's 1533-position model. The record is from RNAcentral.
GGUGAACGCUGGCGGCGUGCCUAAGACAUGCAAGUCGAGCGGGCCGCGGGGUUUUACUCCGUGGUCAGCGGCGGACGGGUGAUUAACGCGUGGUUGACCUACCCGGCAGAGGGUUACAACCCGUUGAAACUCGUGCUAAUCCCCCAUGUUGACCCGCCCCUUGGGGUGUGUCCAAAGGGCUUUUUCCGCUUCCGGAUGGUCCCGUGGCCCCUCAGCUAGUUGGUGGUGUAAUGGUCCACCAACGCGACGAGGGGUAGCCGGCCUGAGGGGGUGGUAGGCCAAAGGGGCACUGAGACACGGGCACAACGCCUAGGGGAGGAAGCAGGUAAGAAGCUGCCGAAAUGGGCGCAAGCGUGACGGAGCGACGCAGCUUGGAGGAAGAAGGCAUUAGGGGUGUAAACUCGUGAACCCGGGACGAAACCGACGAAGAGGGGACGGACGGAACCGGGGUAAUAGCGCCGGCCAACUACGUG